This is a non-coding RNA of Agrilus planipennis (emerald ash borer), 73 nucleotides long. The record is from Rfam. Lineage: Eukaryota; Metazoa; Arthropoda; Insecta; Coleoptera; Buprestidae.
CCUCUUGUAGCUUAGUGGUGAGAGCAUUGGUGCGUGAAGCCAAAGGUCCCGGGUUCGAUUCCCGGCAAGGGUG